RNAcentral lists this ribosomal RNA (440 nucleotides) under uncultured bacterium. RNAcentral's name for it is "partial 16S ribosomal RNA". It matches the Rfam family "Bacterial small subunit ribosomal RNA", at positions 338 to 795 of the family's 1533-position model. The record is from RNAcentral.
CCUACGGGUGGCUGCAGUAGGGAAUAUUGCUCAAUGGGGGAAACUCUGACGCAGCAACGCCGCGUGGAGGAUGAAGGUUUUAGGAUUGUAAACUUCUUUUGUGAGAGAAGAUCAUGACGCUAUCCCACGUAUAAGCACCGGCUAACACUGCGUCAGCAGCCGCGGUAAUACGGAGGGGGCAAACGCUACUCGGAAAUACUGUGCGUAAAGAGUGCGUGGGCGGGCUUGUAAGUCAGAUGUGAAAACCUGGAGCUUAACUACAGAACUGCAUUUGAAACUGUGUGUCCAGAGUGUCGGAGAGGUAGGUGGAAGUCUUGGUGUAGGGGUAAAAUGCGUAGAUAUCAGGAAGAAUACUCGUGGCGAAGGCGAACUACUGGACGAUAACUGACGCUCAGGCGCGAAAGCGUGGGGAGCAAACAGGAUUAGAUACCCCGGUAGUC